GCAAGAUACCACGGGCGCACGGCGGAUGCCUUGGCACAGGGAGCCGAUGAAGGACGCGGCAAGCUGCGAUAAUCCCCGGCGAGGAGCACACAUCCUUCGACCCGGGGGUCUCCGAAUGGGCGAACCCAUCCACAGCAGUGUGGAUAUCCCCACCCCGAACACAUAGGGGCGGGGAGGACAACCCGGGGAACUGAAACAUCUAAGUACCCGGAGGAGAGGAAAUCAAUCUCGAGACUCCCCGAGUAGCGGCGAGCGAAAGGGGACCGAUGGCCAAACCGUCGAGCGGGCAUACCCGGCAGGGGUUCCGCCGACGGGGUUGCAGGGCCGCGCAUCCGGGGGCUGCCGCCCCCGGGCGCAGGUCCGGCUGGGGAGCGGAACGGCAUGGGAGGGCCGGCCGCAGCGGGUGACAGCCCCGUACGCGAACCCAGACCGGACGGCGCGACGCGGUCCCUGAGUAGGGCCGGGCACGUGAAACCCGGUCCGAACCUGGGUGGACCACCAUCCAAGCCUGAGUACUACCCUGUGACCGAUAGCGCACCAGUACCGUGAGGGAAAGGUGAAAAGCACCCCGGGAGGGGAGUGAAACAGUACCUGAAACCGUGCGCCCACGAGCAGUCGGAGCACCCUUGUGGUGUGACGGCGUGCCUUUUGUAGAAUGAGCCAGCGAGUCGCUGGCGCGGGGCGAGGUUAACCGAAAGGGAGCCGGAGCGAAAGCGAGCCUUAACAGGGCGACUUGAGUCCCGCGCCGCGGACGCGAAGCCGGGUGAGCUAUCCGUGGGCAGGCUGAAGCGGGGGUAAGACCCCGUGGAGGGCCGAACGCACGUCGGUUGAAAACGGCGGCGAUGACCUGCGGAUAGGGGUGAAAGGCCAAUCAAACCCGGAGAUAUCUCGUUCUCCCCGAAAUAGCUUUAGGGCUAGCGUCGCGCGUUCACCGCCGGAGGUAGAGCACCGGAUGGACGAGGGGGCUUCGCCGCCUACCGAAUCCAACCGAACUCCGAAUGCCGGCGGCCCAGAGCGCGGCAGUCAGAGCAUGUGGGCUAAGCUGUGUGCUCGAGAGGGAAACAGCCCGGACCGCCCGCUAAGGUCCCCAAGUUCCAGCCGAGUGGCAAAGGAUGUGCGUCCGCCCAGACAACCAGGAUGUUGGCUUAGAAGCAGCCAUGCAUUCAAAGAGUGCGUAACAGCUCACUGGUCGAGUGGACAUGCGCCGACAAUACACGGGGCUAAGCUGGACACCGAAGCGGCGGGAUUUUGAUUUUCAGAAUCGGUAGGGGAGCUUCCCAUGGGCGGUGAAGCCGCCGGGCGACCGGCGGUGGAGCGCAUGGGAGUGAGAAUGCUGGCAUGAGUAGCGAGAGACGAGAGAGUAACUCGUCCGCCGUGAACCCGAGGUUUCCUGGGCAAGGCUAAUCCUCCCAGGGUCAGUCGGGGGCUAAGGCGAGGCCGGAAGGCGUAGCCGACGCGCAGCAGGCAGACAUUCCUGCACCGCGCACGCGGCGCUACGACCGACGGGGCGACGGAUGGGGGUGGCUCGGCGGGGUUCUGGACGUCCCCGUGAUGGAGCGCGGCCCGCGGACCAGGGAAAUCCGGUCCGCACGAGGGCGAGGCUCCGGACGAAGCGAUUGAGCGAAGCGAGUGAGCCCGAGGUCCCUAGAAAAACCCCUAGGCAGGCGCGUGCGCGCCCGUACCGCAAACCGACACAGGUGGGUGGGUAGAACAUACCGAGGCGAUCGGGUCAACCAUGGUCAAGGAACUCGGCACAAUGGCCCCGUAACUUCGGGAGAAGGGGUGCCCGCGCGUACGUGAACGGACUUGCUCCGGGAGCGGAGGCGGGCCGCAGUGGAGAGGCCCAAGCGACUGUUUACCAAAAACACAGGACUCUGCAGAAGCCGCAAGGCGACGUAUAGGGUCUGACGCCUGCCCGGUGCCGGAAGGUCACGCGGAGGAGUUAGCGCAUCGCGCGAAGCCCCGAAGCCAAGCCCCGGUAAACGGCGGCCGUAACUAUAACGGUCCUAAGGUAGCGAAAUUCCUUGUCGGGUAAGUUCCGACCUGC
This 2047-nucleotide ribosomal RNA is filed under the name human gut metagenome. Its description in RNAcentral is "bacterial LSU rRNA". It matches the Rfam family "Bacterial large subunit ribosomal RNA", at positions 1 to 1991 of the family's 2925-position model. The record is from RNAcentral.